AGUUUUGGGGUUGUUUUGGGGGGGAAAUGAGGGGUUUGGGGUAGGAAACGGUUUUGGGGUGAAAAAGCGGGGUUUUGGGUGUUUUUGGGGGGGAAAAGUGGUAUUUCGGUUGGAAAAGAGGCAGAAAAGGGAUAUUUGGGGCAGGAAAAUUGAUAUAUUCAGCAAAAAAAACUGGGUUAUUGGGCAGAAAAAAUGCACUUUCGGGUGUUUCAGAGUGUAAAAAGUGGUAUUUUUAGAGAAAAAAAUGUGGUUUUUUAGGUAUUUUGGGUCGGAAAAGUGGGGUUUUGGGCAAGCAAAACACUGUUUUGGUUGGAAAAAGCACGUUUUUGGGUAUUUGAGAAAGGGAAAGCGCUUUUUCGAUUGAAAAGAGGGGCUUUGGGGGGGUAUUUUGGGUGAGAAAAGCUCUCUUUUGGGUGGGUAAAGGACUUUUUUGGUCGGGAAAAUGCCUUUUGAGCUAUUUUGAGCAAGAAAAGCCUGAUUUUGGGUGGGAAAAGCUCAGUUUUGAGUCGGAAAAAUGCCUUUUUGAGCUAUUUUGGGUGGGAAAAUCUCUAUUUCGGGCAUGCAAAGCGGUAUUUUGAGUGGGGAAAGUGCUUUUUGAGGUAAUUUGGGUGUGAAAAACUCCGUUUUGGGUGAGAAAAAACUCCAUUUUGGGUGGGAAAAGCUCGAUUUUGAGUGGGAAAAGUGCCUUUUGAGCUAUUUUGGGCGGGAAAACCCCUAUUUCGGGCGCGCGAAGCGGUAUUUCGGCGGGGAAAAAGCGGCGUGUUUGGGGGGUUUGGGGGGAUUUUGGGGGGAUUUGUUUGUUUUUUGGGCUUGCCGUGACCACCCCCUGCGCGGUGCCGCCGCAGACCAGACCCUGCGGGUGUACACGUGCCGGGGCCGGGCCCUGCGGCUGCUGCGGUCGGCGCGGGGCCGCGACGUCGGCUGGAGCAUCUUGGACGUGGCCUUCAGCCCCGACGCCUCCCAGUGCCUCUACUCCAGCUGGUCCGACUACGUCUACGUCUACGACCGCGAGGUCCAGCGCCGCGUCCUCCGGGUCAGCCCCCGCGGGCGGGGUUGGGGGGGGCGGCCCCGUAGGUCGUCCGGUGGCCCCGUGGGUCGUUACGGGGUCGUGGUGGCCCCGUAGAUCUCGUGGUGGCCCCAUAGGUGAUGGUUGGGUGGUGGUGGCCCCAUAGAUCGUUAUGGGGUCGUGGUGGCCCCAUAGGUGAUGGUUGGGUUGAGGUGGCCCCAUAGAUCUCCAGGUGGCCCCAUAGGUCGUUAUGGGGUCAUGGUGGUCCCAUAGAUCGUGGUUGGGUGGUGGUGGCCCCAUAGAUGAUGGUUGGGUGGUGGUGGCCCCAUAGAUCAUCAGGUGGCCCCAUAGAUGGUUAUGGGGUCGUGGUGGCCCCAUAGAUCAUGGUUGCGCUCUGGUGACCCCAUAGAUCAUGGUCGGGGUGGUGGUGGCCCCAUAGAUCGUGCGGUGGCCCCAUAGGUUGUUAUGGGGUCGUGGUGGCCCCAUAGAUGAUGGUUGGGUUGCGGUGGCCCCAUAGAUCAUCAGGUGGCCCCACAGAUCUUCAGGUGGCCCCAUAGAUCGUUAUGGGGUCGUGGUGGCCCCAUAGAUCUUCAGGUGGCCCCAUAGAUGAUGGUUGGGUUCUGGUGGCCCCAUAGAUCAUCAGGUGGCCCCAUAGAUUGUUAUGGGGUCGUGGUGGCCCCAUAGACCUUCAGGUGGCCCCAUAGAUGAUGGUUGGGUUCUGGUGGCCCCAUAGAUCAUCAGGUGGCCCCAUAGGUCGUUAUGGGGUCGUGGUGGCCCCAUAGGUCAUGGUUGGGUUCUGGUGGCCCCAUAGAUGUUUAGGUGGCCCCAUAGAUGCUGGUGGGGUGGUGGUGGCCCCAUAGAUCAUCAGGUGGCCCCAUAGGUCGUUAUGGGGUUGUGGUGGCCCCAUAGAUCAUGUGGUGGCCCCAUAGGUCGUUAUGGGGUCGUGGUGGCCCCAUAGAUCAUGUGGUGGCCCCAUAGGUCGUAAUGGGGUCAUGGUGGCCCCAUAGAUCUCCAGGUGGCCCCAUAGAUCGUUACGGGGUCGCGGUGGCCCCCCAGCUCCUCGUAGGCUUCCGGUGGCCCCCAUGGGGCGCGGUCACCUCCUGGUGGCCCCCCAUG
Anser cygnoides (Swan goose) is the source of this 2122-nucleotide long non-coding RNA. The record is from Ensembl. NCBI's taxonomy places the organism in Eukaryota, Metazoa, Chordata, Aves, Anseriformes, Anatidae.